RNAcentral lists this ribosomal RNA (225 nucleotides) under uncultured bacterium. Its description in RNAcentral is "partial 16S ribosomal RNA". It matches the Rfam family "Bacterial small subunit ribosomal RNA", at positions 111 to 334 of the family's 1533-position model. The record is from RNAcentral.
UAACACGUGAACAAACUGUCCUCACGUUCCGGAUAAUUGGCCGAAAGGCCUUGUAAUACGGGCGAGGGUCAUCUUGGGGCAUCUCAGGAUGAAGGAACGCGCAAGCGGCGCGAGGAGGUGUUCGCGGCCUAUCAGGUAGUUGGUGGGGUAAUGGCCUACCAAGCCGACGACGGGUAGCUGGUCUGAGAGGAUGGUCAGCCACAUUGGGACUGAGACACUGCCCAG